GUCAGACACAUCUGGGUUUCUAUUCUAACUUUCACUUCCACCCUGUGUGAUUUAGGCAAGUGCUCAUUUUCUCUGACUUGCUACAUUCUCACCUGUAAAAGCAGCCUGAGCUUGUUGUGAAAACGGAAAGGACGGUACAAAUAAUGCCUAGCACAUUGCUUGGAACAUAGGACACACUCAAUGCCUGACAGCUCUCGGUGGAGAAAAAAGUCUGGUGUUACAAGAGAGAAAAUACCUCUUUGGGAUUUUUUAUUCACGAAUAACAUCAACAACUUGUGAUUCUCUAAUGCAGUCUCUUCCUCCCACACUUGCCAUUGCAAAGGUGGGGCUGUAAGGACAUGGGGACACAGCAGUGAAGAAGAGAGAUGAGAUUCCUUCUUCUAUGGAAAUUAGAUUCUGUCAUCAAGAGAUAGACAAUAAAAAGUCAAUAAAUAAACAACAAAGAAUCUGACUAUAAAAUGUGCUUUCCAGAGAAUGUGUGUUAUGUAAUAGAGCAUGACUAAUUUUCUAAUGUUGAUUAGAAAGUUGAGUUAGGGUUCUAAGAAGAAGAGAUAUUUAAGCCAAGAGCUGAGUGACAGGAAAGGCAAUAGCUAGUGUGAAGAUUUAAGGCAAUGACAAGCUUGAUAUGUUUUAGAAACAGCAGGAAGCCAGGUGCUGUUUAAAUACAUGAGCAAAAAAGGAAAGUGUCACGCCUCUGAGCUCAAGCUAAGUCAUCAUAUCCCCGUGACCUGCAGAUAUACAUCCAGAUGGCCUGAAGUAACUGAAGAAUCACAAAAGAAAUGAAAUUUAAAUGGCCUGUUCCUGCCUUACUGAUGACAUUCCACCACAAAAGAAGUGAAAAUGGCUGGUCCCUGACUUAACUGAUGACAUUACCUUGUGAAAUUCCUUCUCCUGGCUCAUCCUGACUCAAAAGCUCCCCCACUGAGCACCUUGUGACCCCCACCCCUGCCAUCCAGAUAACAACCCCCUUUGACUGUAAUUUUCCUUUACCUACCCAAAUCCUAUAAAACAGCCCCACCCCUAUCUCCCUUCGCUGACUUUCUUUUCAGACUCAGCCCGCC
This is a long non-coding RNA of Pongo pygmaeus (Bornean orangutan), 1061 nucleotides long. RefSeq lists it as uncharacterized. NCBI's taxonomy places the organism in Eukaryota, Metazoa, Chordata, Mammalia, Primates, Hominidae. The transcript has 3 exons. The record is from RefSeq and is a predicted model, not a curated record.